AUGUCAGAAGGACAUUUUUUGGUCAGUUGAUUGUAUCUCUCCCAAGCUUCAUAGAGAAAUUCACCUUCUUUCUGUCUAAAGGUUUGAACAUCCACUCUAAACUU
Molecule: small nucleolar RNA, 104 nt
Organism: Arachis stenosperma
Lineage: Eukaryota; Viridiplantae; Streptophyta; Magnoliopsida; Fabales; Fabaceae
Source: RefSeq, a predicted model, not a curated record